CGCGGUAAUUUGACCGUGCGAAGGUAGCAUAAUCAAUAGUCUUUUAAUUGGAGGCUUGAAUGAAUGGUUGGACGAGGGGUAAGCUGUCUCUUUUGACGUAUGUUGAAUUUGACUUUUAAGUGAAAAGGCUUAAAUUAAUUAGAGGGACGAUAAGACCCUAUAAAACUUAAUACAAAUUUGGCUUGGUUUGUGAUUUGUGUGAAAAGUAGUCUUGUUUAGUUUGUAUUUCGUUGGGGCGACGAAGAUAUAAAAUGUAACUGUCUUUAAAAUUUAAUAGUGUUAGUUAGUAUUUGAUCCUUCUUUGUGGAUUAAAAGAAUAAGUUACUUUAGGGAUAACAGCGUAAUUUUUUUUGAGAGUUCUUAUCGACAAAAGUAGUUGCGACCUCGAUGUUGAAUUAAAGUUUCAGUUAGGUGUAGCCGUUUAACUGGUAAGUCUGUUCGACUUUUAAAACUUU
This 455-nucleotide ribosomal RNA is filed under the name Leptopalaemon magelensis. RNAcentral describes it as "partial 16S ribosomal RNA". It matches the Rfam family "Bacterial large subunit ribosomal RNA", at positions 1932 to 2597 of the family's 2925-position model. Lineage: Eukaryota; Metazoa; Arthropoda; Malacostraca; Decapoda; Palaemonidae. The record is from RNAcentral.